RNAcentral lists this long non-coding RNA (1159 nucleotides) under Ananas comosus (pineapple). RNAcentral describes it as "long non-coding RNA (ACOM_LNC015312)". Lineage: Eukaryota; Viridiplantae; Streptophyta; Magnoliopsida; Poales; Bromeliaceae. The record is from RNAcentral.
ACGCCCCAACUUCCCAGGGGGUCACCCAUCCUAGGACUACUCCCGUCCUAGCACGCUUAACUCUCUUAACCUCUUGGGUCUUGCCACCACCCAAAAUGCUUAAGCCGGGUUAAGAGUUUAGCCCUAUUAUAUCUUAUAUAUAGGACUAUCUGGGGUCUCACAAUCUCCCCUCCUUUAAGCCCUGACGUCCUCGUCAGGCUCAGACUCACAAGUACCAGGCGAUGUGAGACUCAUCUCGCUAGCCCGUCAUCCAGACCCUGGCUCAGCCGAGACUCAUCUCACAUUUCCGGCUGGUAAUUGGCUCUGAUACCAUCUGUGACGCCCCGACUUCCCAGGGGUCACCCAUCCUAGGACUACUCCCGUCCUAGCACGCUUAACUCUCUUAACCUCUUAGGUCUAGCCACCACCCAAAAUGCUUAAGCCGGGUUAAGAGUUUAGUCCUAUUAUAUCUCAUAUAUAGGACUAUCUGGGGUCUCACAAUCUCCCCUCCUUUAAGGUCCUGACGUCCUCGUCAGUCCAAUCACACACAGCCCAAGAUCACCAGGCUAUGUGAGACUCGUCUCGCUAGCCCGUCAUCCAGACCCUGGCUCAGCCGAGACUCAUCUCACACUUCCGGCUGGUAAUUGGCUCUGAUACCAUCUGUGACGCCCCAACUUCCCAGGGGGUCACCCAUCCUAGGACUACUCCCGUCCUAGCACGCUUAACUCUCUUAACCUCUUAGGUCUAGCCACCACCCAAAAUGCUUAAGCCGGGUUAAGAGUUUAGUCCUAUUAUAUCUCAUAUAUAGGACUAUCUGGGGUCUCACAAUCUCCCCUCCUUUAAGGUCCUGACGUCCUCGUCAGUCCAAUCACACACAGCCCAAGAUCACCAGGCUAUGUGAGACUCGUCUCGCUAGCCCGUCAUCCAGACCCUGGCUCAACCGAGACUAGCCACACAUGUCCAGCUGGUGAACCGGCUCUGAUACCAAAUGUAACGACCCAGCCCACUAGCAAUAAUAACUCGUUGGGCCCAGUCAACAGCCCAAAAUGCUUAAGCCCAGUUAUUAUUACUAGUGUCUAAGUCUCUUAUAAACCCAAUGACAACCCCUUUCCCAUCCGAUGUGAGACUAUUGGGAUGUCACAGACUCCCCCCGUUAAGGCCCUGACGUCUUCGUCAGUCC